GACGAACCGUCCAAACGUUAUUCGGAAUCACUGGGCUUACAGAGUUCGUAGGCGGUCUGGAAAGUUGGGUGUGAAAUCCCUCGGCUCAACCGAGGAACUGCGCUCCAAACUACUGGGCUAGAGGAAGAUAGAGGUGAGCAGAACUGAUGGUGGAGCGGUGAAAUGCGUUGAUAUCUGGAGGAACACCGGUGGCGAAGGCGGCAUCCUGGACCGGUAUUGACGCUGAGGCGCGAAAGCCAGGGGAGCAAACGGG
Molecule: ribosomal RNA, 253 nt
Filed under: uncultured bacterium
Lineage: Bacteria
Description: partial 16S ribosomal RNA
Rfam family: Bacterial small subunit ribosomal RNA
Source: RNAcentral